GCUGAGGGAACCAGAUGGACCUGACUACAGCAGCCUUCCACUGAUCAUCAUCUCUCCCAAACACUUUUCUGCACAUAUUUACACAUGACCUCAUGAAGUGACAAAGAUGUCUUCCUCUAGAAGAUGUCAUCCUCCGCAAAAUGGUGUCAGCUGUUGUCCUAGCACCAGUAUGAUACUGGCCAGUGAGUAUUCUUCUAAAUGAUUUCCAGCACAGUUUGGGCAUUAGAAAGGGCCAGAGAUCACUUUUGACAGGCACUUGGGAUACAGCCACCUUGUUUUGAAAUCCAAAGGGUUCACUACCAUAGACAUGGGGCGUAUGGUGACUAGUGGUCAGAAUAAACAGAGAACAGAUCCAAGGAUGUUUAAUUUUCUGUUACAAAUGUAGCCAUUGUGCAUCACUGGUCAAACAGAAUAGAAUAGGAUAAACUAUCUAUCAGCUUGAAGCUAAAUAAUCCAAGCCAUGACUCUUGUUUUUAUAUGUAUAUAAUCACUCCAUUAUGCAAUGUAUCAUGCCUCUUCUAAUGAUUUUCAUCUGCUAUCACACAGUUUAUAAGUGGCUAAUUAUUCUACCUGCACAAUCAACAUGCAUGCACAUUCUAGAAUAUAGUAUCCUCAUCUGUAUAGUUCCUGCUUCGUACUUUUUUUUUUUUUAAUGACAUAUCUGAGCAUUUUCUAGUUUGUGUGUCCUUUCCUACUGAAUAUCAUGUUUUUUCUUAUACAGUAUUCCGUAAAUCUUAUGAAGACCUUCAGAAGUUCUUUGAUGCACUACAGUCACUGUCCUUGUUGGUCUAAUAUGCAGGCAUUUCUCAGUUACAGUGGUUUUCAAGUAAGGCAUAAUUAUCUCAAGUCAACACUGAUUAUCCCACAAUUAAAAUUAUACUAUCAGAGCCUGAAGCCCAAAAGAAAAUCAGGCGAUGGUCACAUAAUGCACUGUAAAAGCACAGUGCAUAGGGAUAUCAACUCAGAGCUGAAUAAUGCUUAAACUGAUUUCAGAAAAAAAUAAUAUAUAAUUAAUGAGCUUGAUAACUCCAGCUUGGACCCUUUGUUUCUAUUCAGUACAGUUUUUCAUCACAGUCUUUACAGCAGCAUCUGGGAGUCAGUUUUGUAAUGAUAUUUAGGCUCCCACUUCCAGAGCCUGUUCUGAGUGUUAGACACAUAGAUGAGAGCUGGGGGGAGGUGAAUAAAAUAAGGCUGCACAUUUCUGUUAACA
This 1210-nucleotide long non-coding RNA is filed under the name Anser cygnoides (Swan goose). Its description in RNAcentral is "lncRNA (ENSACDG00005003265.1)". The record is from RNAcentral. Lineage: Eukaryota; Metazoa; Chordata; Aves; Anseriformes; Anatidae.